This 342-nucleotide unclassified non-coding RNA is filed under the name Hevea brasiliensis (rubber tree). Lineage: Eukaryota; Viridiplantae; Streptophyta; Magnoliopsida; Malpighiales; Euphorbiaceae. The record is from RNAcentral.
UGCCGCUAAUGGUGCAUGCGUGUACACAGCCAGCUAUGGUGAUGCAUCUUACUCAAUGGGCUACUUGAGUCAAGAUCUACUGACCUUAACACCAACACAGACCUUGCCCCAGUUCACCUACGGAUGCGGGGAGGACAACGAGGGGUUAUUUGGUAGAGCAGCAGGUAUUAUAGGGCUAGCCCGUGACAAGCUAUCAAUGUUAGGCCAGUUGUCUACCAAGUACGGAUAUGCCUUCUCCUAUUGCCUUCCCACAGCCACUUCUAUCUCUUCUGGAGGGGGCUUCUUGUCCAUUGGAAACAUUUCUCCAUCGCCCUACAAGUUCACCCCAAUGAUCAGAAACCC